RNA transcript from Asterias rubens (European starfish), 1435 nucleotides. It is a transcript of the gene named carbohydrate sulfotransferase 1-like, with no coding region annotated. The transcript has 2 exons. The record is from RefSeq and is a predicted model, not a curated record. NCBI's taxonomy places the organism in Eukaryota, Metazoa, Echinodermata, Asteroidea, Forcipulatida, Asteriidae.
CCCCCCCCCAGGAAAGAUGAGGCCAAUUAGCAUAAAUGGGCGUCUUUUACCUUCUUUCUCACAUUGGCGCAAAAAAUGUGUGUCCAUGUCAGCCCCAUGUGUUAACAUGUAGCCUAUACGUUUCGUCUUUCGUCUUUGUUCACACCACCACUGAAUGCAUGCUUGGUUGGUAUGGCACCACAUGAGAAAGUAGGUUAAAACGCCACUUGAUGCUAAGUGGCCUCGUCUUCCAUGGGAAAAAAAAUACGCUUAGAAACUUACCGUCCUGUGUGCCUACUGUCCCGAAAUCGAAAGCUCCCUAUUAGCUUAGUUAUGGGGCGCGUGAUAGCUAAUAUGUUUUCCCCCUGGCUGAUGCAGGGGAAUAACAGCGAUCUCAGACUUGAAAUCAAGUCUUGAAACCAAGUAAAUUAUUGUUGUGGUGGUUUAUAAACCAUGUGUAGCCCAGAGCUCAAAAGGUGAUAGCGCCCUCAAGGCUGGAACAGGUGAUAGCGCCCUCAAUUGACUCGAGAUGUUCAGGCCAGGUGAGAGUGUUUUAUGGCAGACAUGUUUGUUGUUAUGCAUGUCAUGUAAAAGUUUGCUCAUCAUUUUGUUUUUUGAAAUAUAAUAGUUGAGGGAGAAAUAAUAACCUCCUGUUAGCAGGUUUUGUGUUCCUGCAAACCAGUAAAGAUUUAUUGGCAGUUGUUGGCUCUCAGAUCUCAGAUCUACAAUCUUAGAUCUUCUCUAUGAAUGGCUUUCUCAAGUUGAAUAAACUCAGAACUGUUGGAGUGUUGGUACUUGGUGACGAAUGAAACUGCGGACCUUCCACAUCUGGACUCGCUGUCUGCUGGACUGUGGAAUGCGUGGACUGCUGGACUGGGUCUAGACGUACUACCUAGCUGCAACAAGUUUCCCCGGGACUUCUGAACUAUUUGACCUACUGCGUACCUACAUCUGUACAUGUAGCUGCAAGGUGUCGAGUGGAGGAGGAAUUACAGUGCCCGUAUCCUUGAUAUUAACCGCGGAAUUGAACUCGUGAACUGAUAAAUCGGAUAUUAAUCGCGGAAUUGAACUCGUGAACUGAUAAAUCUAGGAUCCUAGUGUUUUGAGAUUGUUUAUUACUAUUGGCCAAUAGUUAGUAUACAGCUGUUAGAGUUUUAUUGCAGUUUGCAAUUUUUUUCUAAAAGUUAAAGUUUGUUUAAUAUCUUGACGAAGAAAGAGCUGUGAAGAGCAUUAAAAGUGGUUAUUUAAAAGUUUAAUUCUUUUGCACUGAGUCAGUUCGUGUGUGUGUUACACAUGUUUUUAAGAUGCCUUAAUGUUCAUGCUUUAUAACCAAAAACUGAUUACUAAAUCAUGACUUUCACGCUUCAAUAUUAUGGUUUAUAAACCAUGCUUUGUAGACCCACGAUGUUGAUGCUUUUAUAGUUCGUUUGUUGACCAUGUUUUUAGAACAGCUCAA